RNAcentral lists this ribosomal RNA (443 nucleotides) under uncultured bacterium. RNAcentral describes it as "partial 16S ribosomal RNA". It matches the Rfam family "Bacterial small subunit ribosomal RNA", at positions 338 to 795 of the family's 1533-position model. The record is from RNAcentral.
CCUACGGGCGGCUGCAGUGGGGGAUAUUGGACAAUGGGCGCAACCCUGACCCAGCGACGCCGCGUGAAGGAAGAAGUAUUUCGGGUUGUAAACUUCUGUUCUCAGGGACGAAACAAGUGACGGUACCUGACCAAUAAGCCACGGCUAACUACGUGCCAGCAGCCGCGGUAAUACGUAGGGGGCAAGCGUUAUCCGGAUUUACUGGGUGUAAAGGGAGUGUAGGCGGUAAAGCAAGUCAGAUGUGAAACCCAUGGGCUCAACCUCUGGACUGCACUUGAAACUGUUCUUCUUGAGUACUGGAGAGGCAGACGGAAUUCCUAGUGUAGCGGUGAAAUGCGUAGAUAUUAGGAGGAACACCAGUGGCGAAGGCGGUCUGCUGGACAGUAACUGACGCUGAGGCGCGAAAGCGUGGGGAUCAAACAGGAUUAGAUACCCGAGUAGUC